Molecule: long non-coding RNA, 8246 nt
Organism: Dama dama (fallow deer)
Lineage: Eukaryota; Metazoa; Chordata; Mammalia; Artiodactyla; Cervidae
Exons: 3
Source: RefSeq, a predicted model, not a curated record
UUUUCCUGCGCGUGCGUGCAGCUCCCGUGCUCAGCCGCGGGGCUGGAGGGGCCAUGGGGACUCUGGGCCCGAGGGUCCAUAGGUGACAUUAUCAGUCGAUAGGCGUUUAUUCUACUGUUUGAGGAAAACAAACAGGGGUGCAGCUUAGGUGAAAAGAGAAACAGCUUAUUGCCAGUGUCUAAACUAACAACGGAAUGUGUCUGGGAGCGUGUGUAUGGAUACACGUGUACUUUAGAGCAGCCCCGCCUGUGUGCAGAGCUCUUGGUCUAAGUCAGCGCUUCACGGGAGCUAUCGCACUUUAAGCCUCAAAACAACUUUAUGAGGUCUGUGAAGUGUCAGACCUCAAGAUGGACAACAGCUGUUUCAUUAGAUACAGCAUCUAGUUCUCCAGUCAUAAACCUGUACAACAUUCACUGAAAUUUGUUGGUAAUGUGAUGAGUUCUUCCCACAUAUUCACCCAUUUACAUUCCCUUUUUAAAGUACAAGUGUGUCUUUUAUUUCAGAUAUUGAUAAUAUCUUUGUUCUGUGAAGUAACUUUGAUAGUCUUUCCUCAUAACUAAAUUGAUAAAACAAUGAUACAAUCCUCCUCAGAAGGAACUUAAAUGGUUCAUAAGUAUAUGCUUUAGUUAAUUAGGUAUCAGUUUAUAAGUAGUUCUUUAUUAUACAUAAAUAUUUUGGGAGGACCCUUUAAAAGUCAUCAAAGGAAAAAAAAAAAAAACUACUUUUAGAGUAGCUUCUUUUAGAGUAGUUUGUUUUUAUGGUAUAUCCAUGUUAGUUAUAUGGGAGGAAAUUUACACAUGGAUCAGGAGAUAUACUUCUGUUUGGGGAAAUUUGCUUUGCAUGGUUUUGAGCCCUAGUUUCUGAAAGUGACUUAGGACAGAUGCAUACAUAUUUUCAACUCUGAUUCUGUUAGGAUUUUUCUCUACGUGAGAAAUUGUUUUGCUUCUGUGUUCUUGGCCACAGAUUGUAGGACUGAAUUAAAAUUCAUUUACAGUUAUUAAUGGUAAUAUUUACUAACGAAGUAUGAAUUACCCUGCUCCCAACCCAUUACAAUAAGGAUACUUGGAAAGGCAUACACCCAUUUGUUUCAGUUAUCUACCUUCUAAAUAAUUAGUGUGAAAGUGUUGACCUUAAAUGAUAUAUUAAAUAUAGUGUUCUGAAAUAUUGUUUUAAAAUAAUUUAAAUUUUCUUAGUAAAGGAAAGUUAGCCUAUUCAUGUUUGGAAUCAUAGACUUUAUUAGUUAAAGCACACCUAUUUGUAAUUGCGCCCUGGAGCUGCUGAGAACAAAUUCAUUCCCAUCUAUAUGUGAUAACCCUUUAAGUAUGACCAUUAGUAUUUUCAACCAUGAGGACAACUGAACCUCGACUCUCCAAAUAUCCAUAGUUUCUUUAGUGGCUUAUGAUUUUAAACACUUCAUACUCUUGGUUCCCUUUUCUGGUUAUUCUCCAGUUUAACAGAGCCCAUCUCAAAAAGUGACACCCCAAAUGGUAGAUCAUGUACCAUAUGGCCUGAAAUACACAGGUGUUGGUUAACUUUUUGUCUAGCCAUUAAAAUGUGUGUAUUUAAGGAACAAUUUAAAUAAUAUAAAAGACUGGUAAAUAAUAAAAAUGGGUAUAUUCUUGACUCUGUGUCAAAGGAAAAUUGAAGGGAUUUCAUAAUAAACAAACUUCACAUUGAGUGAAGUGGUAAAGAAACUGCAGGAGACACAGGAGAUGUGGGUUUGAUCCAUGGGUCAGGAAGAUCCCCUAGAGGAGGAAACAGCAACCCACUUCAGUAUUCUUGUCUGGAAAGUCCCACGGACAGAGGGACCUGGUGGACUACAGUCCAUGGGGUUGCAAAGUGUCAGACACGACGGAGUAGGCACACACGAUAAACAAACUUUACGAUGAGUAAAAAACAUUUAAUGGCUUUCUCAGAGGCUUUCUUGACUUGGAAAGAACCUUUUCCUAGAAGUUGAGGAGGACAAGAAUCUAUUGACAUUCAUUUCUUACUCAUUUCUAGUAAACAGAAGUCAAAUUGGAACUCUCUGGGCUCUAGGAGAUAUGACUUGAGGCCAUGUGACCAGUUCAGCUUCAUGCUACAUUUCUAUUAUUGAUAUGUAAAAAAUUAUUUCUUGUAGAAGAAAUAUAUAGGGAAAUAAGGAGAAUAAAAUACCUCACGUUCUCUUUUGGCAAAGAAAUGCUUAUGUGUUUUAAACAAAUUAACUUUUUAAGGCAGCUCUGAAGAAGUAAUUUAUUUUAAAUAGGUGAACAGUUUAUAGCUCUUAUGGGAAUACUUUUCCCUUACUUUUCUUCAUCGUAGGAUUAGGCCCUAUGUUUUUAAUUUAAGUCCUUUAAUUUUUGCUGUUAACAUUUAAUUUACUUGAUGACCCCAUACUGUUAACUUUUGACCCAGUGAACUUAGAUGGUAUAUGCAGACCACAUAGCUAAUUUUAAAGAAACCCUUAAAGAAAAAUAAUGUUUGAAGUGAAACAGAAGAUUAAAUUCAUUUCAAUGUUCAUGUAGAGGAGUAGCACACAUAUACUUAACCAAAGAACUUUUUUCCCCUUUGGAGAAUGUACUUUUAUAAACACGGGGCUUUUACAAUUAGAUGUUUAUGCUGUUGGCAAAACAACCCAAAACUGGUGUGACUUAACUGCAGUACUUCUAAUAAACUGCAAAACCACUGAUAGAGUACAGUAGAUAGGAAUCCUUUUCCUGACAAGAAAUUCUUAUAGCAUGUAGCUAAAUCUAAUGGUCCUUACACUAUCUCUACUUACACUCAGUUUCCUUUCCUAUUAUAUAAAAUUGAGAUUCCCAAAGUUUAAUCCUUAGAUGUGAAAAAUGUUAGCACAUAUCAGUUUCAGUUCAGUCACUCAAGUUGUGUCUGACUCCUUGCGACCCCAUGAACUGCAGCACACCAGGCCUCCCUGUCCAUCACCAAUUCCCGGAGCUUGCUCAAACUCAUGUCCAUCGAGUCGGUGAUGCCAUCCAACCAUCUCACCCUCUGUUGUCCCCUUCUCCUCCUGCCUUCAAUCUUUCCCAGCAUCAGGGUCUUUUCCAGUGAGCCAGUUCUUCACAUCAGGUGGCCAAAGAAUUGGAGCUUUAGCUUCAGCAUCAGUCCUUCCAGUGAAUAUUCAGGACUGAUUGCUUUUAGGAUGGACUGGUUGGAUCUCCUUGCAGUCCAAGGGACUCUCAAGAGUCUUCUCCAACACCACAGUUCAAAAGCGUCAAUUCUUUGGCACUCAGCUUUCUUUAUAGUCCAACUCUCACAUCCAUACAUGACUACUGGAAAACCAUAGCUUUGACUGGAUGGACCUUUGUCGGCCAAGUAAUGUCUCUCCUUUUCAAUAUGCUGUCUAGAUUGGUCAUAGCUUUUCUUCCAAGGAGCAAGUGUCUUUUAAUUUCAUGGCUGCAGUUGCCAUCUGCAGUGAUUUUGGAGCCCAAAAAAAUAAAGUUUCUCACUGUUUCCAUUAUUUCCCCAUCUGUUUGCCAUGAAGUGAUGGGACUGGAUGCCAUGAUCUUAGUUUUCUGAAUGUUGAGGUUUAAGCCUGCUUUUUCACUCUCCUCUUUCACUUUCAUCAAGAGGCUCUUUAGUUCUUCUUUGCUUUAGUUGUUAAUUAUAAUAAAGUUCAAGGCUUCUUCCAAAUUACUUGAUGUAAAGAUACUUUAUGUAUAACUUUUAUUUGCCCUUAAAAGUGGAUCUGCAAACUUACUUUUGAACAUUUCCUCCCUAAUUAUAAAAUAGUAUAUGAGUCCUGUUAUUUAUUGAACUGUGUAAAAUGCAGCUUAAUCAUUACUAUUGAUAAUUUCAAAUAUGUCACAUUUACUUUAUUCAAAAAUGAACAGAGAGUUAAGCAAUAACUGCUGUGUGCUAACCACCAUUAGGUACAGGGGUAUUAACAAGGCUUCUAGUAUCUGGAAGUAGUGCAAGCUAUAUAUGUUUCUAUAUAAACAUUCAUAGGGCUUCCCUGAUGGCUCAGUGGUAAAGAAUCUGCCUGCCAAUGUAGGAGACCUGGAUUUGAUUCUUGGGUUGGGAAGAUCCCCUGGAGAAGGAAAUGGCAACCUACUCCAGUAUUCUUGCCUGGGAAAUCCCAUGGACAGAGGAGCCUGGCGGACUACAGUCCAUGGGGUCGUAAAGAGUUGGAUACAGCUUAGUGACUAAAUAACAACAUAAAACCUUCAUGGUUUGCUAGUAAGAACAUGAUUGUUGUUUCACAGUGUAAAUACUAGAGGGAGUGUUCGAAAAUGUGCUUUUAUUUUAUUUUUUAAAUAAAUGGAAGUAUUUUUGUGUAGUUUUAUAGCCAUGGAGGGAAAUAAUGAGAUUUUGCCCUGGGAUGUUACGCCUGAAAUAGAGAUAAGAGUCUUGAAUGACUCCCUGGUCCCCAGUUUGGCUGUGCAGUACAGUUUUACUGGAAUAGAGACAAAUGGAGGAGGAAUGGGGCGUCUAUGUAUGUAUGUAUGUAUGUGUAAAAGUGUGAAAUGGAAAACUAGGAAGGGGGGGAUGAGAAAUUCAGUGAAGCCAUACCAAAUAUGGAAGAUUAACUGCCAGUGGGGUGUCCAUGUGGAGAAGUUCACGAGGGAGCUCAGCAUCUGCGUGUCUGAGGCUGAGGAGAAAUGCCUGGGCUGAAGGCAGAUAUCAUUAAAUAGGUGUUAGUUAAAGUCAGGGGAUGCCAUUGCUCAUAGAGAUGGAAUAUAUGGAGAAGAAAUGAGAACCAGCAUUAGUAAAUGGGCAAAUUAGGAGGAGGAAGAUAAAGAACCGAUAAGAAAUAACGGAGGAAGGGAAGGGAGCACCAACUGAGCUGUGAGCAGCCGAUGGGAGAGAAGAUUCAGAAGGAAAGAAGUCAGGAGGGUCAGACAGUAAACAUGAGUGGAAUCAAUAGAAAAACAUGAUGGCAAUUUUGUUAUUAGUAUUGUUUGCCAGAAUGUUUGCAGUGCAUGUUCAGUGUACUGAUGGUAGCAGAAUUCUGUUUGUGUUGAGUUGAAAAGUAUAUUGAAAUUGAGAGAGGUUAUAUUAAAUUUAUAUUAUUCCAAGUCUCCUCAGCUUUCUUUUUUUUUUGUCACGCCAUGCAGCUUGAGGAAUCUUAGUUCCCUGAGCAGCGAUCAAACCCAGGGACCCAGCAGUGAAAGCGCUGUGUCCUAACCACUGGACUGCCACGGAAUUUCCAAAACUUUUCAUCUCUUAUUCAAAAUAGAAUUAAAGAAUGGUAGUUGUAGGGAGGAAGUUAAAAGAUAGAGGAGGAGAUUCUACAGUGAAAAGAGUUUAACAUAAAAUGUGGGGGAGAGACAGCAGAAAGGGGAGAUUAAAAAGAGAAGGGAUUUUAAAAAAAAGGAGGGAUAAAGGUAAAGCAAGACCUUAAGAGAUGAAGAAAUAUUAAAUACUGAUACAGGAUCAACGGUGUAAGUAGAGGAACUGAGCUGGAAAAGAAAAGGAAGGAUACUUCUUCCUCUGAGAUUAGAGAGGAGACGAAGAUGGUUACAUGUAUAACUUAAAUUGUGGGACUGAAAUGGAGAUUCAUGGCUGAUACUUUUGAUUUUUUUUCUGAUAAAGGAAACAUAAAAGAUAAAUGCAUAGGUGAGUUUAAGUAAAAGUAUAAUACAUGCUAUAAGGAAUGGGAGAGGGAGCAAGGUUAUAAGCAGGAGAGAUUGAUGAGCCUGGGAAUCUAGGCUGGAUAGGAAAUGACGUGAAGGUAUGUGAAAGAUUGUGGUUUGAAGGAAAAUGGAAUAGUUGAGAACUGAGGUUAAAAUAAGGUAAGAAAGCAGGUGUUAAGGGAGUAAAUGGAGUGAGUAAAUUUCCAUGCCUGUUUGUUGCUCAUAUGUAUUUCUGAGCAAAAGGUAUUCAACUAUAAUAUACUUUAAUGACUGAAUAAGUAUUCUACUAUAGAAUAUUAGGUUGUAAAAUAAGCAGUUUCUUAUUUGGGAGUCUUUUUAUUGAUUCCUGCCAAUUUUUCUCUACUGGUAAAAGGAACAAUAAAAUAAUUAAAUUUUUGAGUUAUUUCCUUAGGGUGCAAUCUUAGAACUGGAUUUUCUGGUAGGUCUUCAUAAUGAGCCUUUUUAUUUUUGGGCUUCCCUGGUGGCUCAGAUGGUAAAGAAUCUGCCUGCAAUACAGGAGACUGGGGUUCAAUCCCUGAAUUGGGAAGAUCCCCUGGAGAUGGGAAUGACUAUCCACUCCAGUAUUCUUGCCUGGAGAAUUUCAUGGACUGAGGAGCCUGGUGGGCUACAGUCCAUGGGGUUGCAAAGAGUCAGGUGUGACUGAGCGACUAACACUUUUUCUAUCUUUAUUUUAGGCCUAUUUCUAACAGGCUUGUUUAUGUGCAUUCUUACUCUAUCCUGGAUUGGAAUCAGAAAAUUGGACAAUGUUGCAGGUUCUGACUGAUGCAGGCACAGGGACCAGCCAAAGUGAGAAAUGCUAAGUAAAAGUCCUUUUUCAUGGGAAUAGUGAUGGGUGUUUUAAAAACUUGGAAUCAAGUACACUUUUUAUGAGUACAAUAAGAAAUGAUUCAUGAGCUGAAUAACAGGAUAUAGUGGUCAAUUUAGAAAUACAUAUUCAAAUUAAAUAAAAAUCUCUAUGGAUAACCUACAUUUGUCAACAGCAUCCAAUUUUAGGAAAGGUUUUAAAAAAUCAUGAAUAAUCAUCAAAGCCACUGCUCCUCAGACUUUUCCACAAAAGUUUGGUUAAUGGCAGAGAAGAGUGAAUAACUGCCCCAAAAUCUGGGUCCCAAGAUAGAAUUUUCUUUAGUUUUGUGUUUUGUCUUUAAUUUAAAAUGAAAGUGCAUUAUAUACCAUAAGAGUCCUAUGGUUAAUAUAAAUAAAAUGCUUAUAAUUUUUUUCAAAGUCUCUGAGUAAAAUCGAUAUCUUAGAAGAUGAUCCAAGUUUAUUCUGCUUUUAACACCCUGAAAUACUGAAAGUUCCCAUUGCCUAAAGCUGGACUUGUACAGGCAAGGUUCUAGGCUAUUUCAUGGUUGUACAAUACAUUCCUUUUCAGUUCUUUCUCCUACAGUGUAGCCAAAGCUAUUUAUAGUGGUAUAUGGCAGGGAAUUGAUUGAUUAAUGCUUACCCACAUUUAAACUGAGAGUGUUACAGAAACUGAAAAUUCACAGAGUGAAAUUUCAACAGACUACACUACAAGAAAAGUUAAAGAAGUCCUUCAGACAGAAGGGAAAUGAUACCAGGUGGAAAUACAGAUUUACACAAAGGGAUGAUGAGAGCUGGAAAAGGAUUGGUUCCUGUAAGUGAAACUACUGUAUCAAGGAUUUGGAUAUUUUUGACUCCAGAAAGGUAAUAUAGUAAUAGAUGGGUGUGUAAAUUACAUUCUUAGUAACACUUAGUUAUUAGCACUUAUUUUCAGUCUCUGCCAAUCUGAUGGAAAGACCCUUUCUGUAAUUUACAUAAAGUUGCAUUUUGUUCAUACACUCAUAUUAAUAACUUUGCCAUUUUAGGGACUUGCAGUUCUUUACAGAGCCUUGCCAAGAUAUUGAAGAAAAUAUAUUUUGUUAUUGGCUUUGGCAGCAUUUAAGAUAAAUUAUAUUUUGAACACAUAGAAAGGUGAGGAAAAAGUAACACAAAAAAGGAUCCAAAUUAUUUUGCUUAAUAAAAAGUAAGAUUGUAUUUAAUUUUCUUUUUUUUUUUAGAAACAGGAAAGUUUUAUUAUGAUCGUUUAAAAAGCUUAAUAGAUAUAUAAAUUGAUUUUCCAUUAUAGAAAUGGAGAAUACUGCUUCUUUUUACAUUUCCAUUAAAUAUAUAUGCAAUCAAUUAUUUCUUGGGCACAAAGGAAGUGCAACACAGUACAAGAAAGGAAAAAUUGUACAGGCCAUAUUCUGACCACAAAACAAUGCUCUGUGAUGACCUAGAUGGCUGGGAUUGGAGGUAGGGGUGGGGUGGAGGGAGGUCCAAGAGGGAAGAGACACAUGUAGUCUUCAAUUCUUAAUGUAGUAGUAGAGCAUUAUUACUAUCAACCAGCAACAUCGUAUUUAUGGAAAUCACAUUGAAUUUAUUGCUUAAGGUGCCAUUUUUACUAUAGAACUUUUCAGAAUGCUUUGAAAUACUUAGUCUAUAAGGUUAAGAAAAACAUUCACUGGAUAACUACUUUGAAAAAAUUUCCACAACCCUGCCUUCAUUCAAGAGGCCUAGAAACAGACGGCUCACUUCCAACUUCCUUACUUGUUAUCUUUGCUAUGAAGUCAUUCUAUAGAUAGGUUAAUAAGCAUUCUGGCAUACAGCAAAAUUGCAUCUGUAAAACUAUAUGGCACAGUUUGGCUGGGGUUGUUC